CAGGAGGUGAGACAGGUAUAACACUCAGCAGGUGAGACAGGUAUAACACUCAGCAGGUGAGACAGGUAUAACACUCAGGAGGUGAGACAGGUGUAACACUCAGGAGGUGAGACAGGUCAGGAGGUGAGACAGGUAUAACACUCAGGAGGUGAGACAGGUAUAACACUCAGGAGGUGAGACAGGUAUAACACUCAGCAGGUGAGAUAGGUAUAACACUCGGGAGGUGAGACAGGUAUAACACUCAGCAGAUGAGACGGGUAUAACACUCAGGAGGUGAGACAGGUAUAACACUCAGGAGGUGAGACAGGUAUAACACUCAGCAGGUGAGACAGGUAUAACACUCAGGAGGUGAGACA
Long non-coding RNA from Labrus mixtus (cuckoo wrasse), 356 nucleotides. RefSeq lists it as uncharacterized. NCBI's taxonomy places the organism in Eukaryota, Metazoa, Chordata, Actinopteri, Labriformes, Labridae. The transcript is spliced from 4 exons. The record is from RefSeq and is a predicted model, not a curated record.